This 253-nucleotide ribosomal RNA is filed under the name uncultured bacterium. Its description in RNAcentral is "partial 16S ribosomal RNA". It matches the Rfam family "Bacterial small subunit ribosomal RNA", at positions 524 to 776 of the family's 1533-position model. The record is from RNAcentral.
UACGGGGGGGGCAAGCGUUGUUCGGAAUUACUGGGCGUAAAGGGCGCGUAGGCGGCGCAACAAGUCACUUGUGAAAUCUCCGGGCUUAACUCGGAGCGGCCAAGUGAUACUGUCGUGCUAGAGUGCGGAAGGGGCAACUGGAAUUCUCGGUGUAGCGGUGAAAUGCGUAGAUAUCGAGAGGAACACCUGCGGCGAAGGCGGGUUGCUGGGCCGACACUGACGCUGAGGCGCGAAAGCCAGGGGAGCGAACGGG